AAAAUCAUUCGAUGCCCAGAAAUAUCUGAAGAGAGUUGGGUUAGGAAAAGAAGACUAUCACUUCUGGAAGCAAGUGGGCAAGGCGUUGCUUUGUACUUACACUUUGUUCGGCGUAGCGUGGUUAUGGAAUGAGACUUCGCCACUUAGUUGGUGGACCCUGAAGCCCAAGCCAAAGGAAGAUAAGCUAAACACCGUUGCUUUGUACUUACACUUUGUUCGGCGUAGCGUGGUUAUGGAAUGAGACUUCACCACUUGGUUGGUGGACCCUGAAGCCCAAGCCAAAGGAAGAAAAAGAACUAGCACACCUGUAUGAACGCCGGAAAUUUCCAUAUCCAGGCGAUGAGAAG
Molecule: long non-coding RNA, 347 nt
Filed under: Nicotiana benthamiana
Lineage: Eukaryota; Viridiplantae; Streptophyta; Magnoliopsida; Solanales; Solanaceae
Description: long non-coding RNA (NBEN_LNC015290)
Source: RNAcentral